This 589-nucleotide ribosomal RNA is filed under the name Streptomyces sp. KK5-10. Its description in RNAcentral is "bacterial SSU rRNA". It matches the Rfam family "Bacterial small subunit ribosomal RNA", at positions 119 to 721 of the family's 1533-position model. The record is from RNAcentral. Lineage: Bacteria; Bacillati; Actinomycetota; Actinomycetes; Kitasatosporales; Streptomycetaceae.
GGGCAAUCUGCCCUGCACUCUGGGACAAGCCCUGGAAACGGGGUCUAAUACCGGAUACUGACCUGCCAAGGCAUCUUGGCGGGUCGAAAGCUCCGGCGGUGCAGGAUGAGCCCGCGGCCUAUCAGCUUGUUGGUGAGGUAAUGGCUCACCAAGGCGACGACGGGUAGCCGGCCUGAGAGGGCGACCGGCCACACUGGGACUGAGACACGGCCCAGACUCCUACGGGAGGCAGCAGUGGGGAAUAUUGCACAAUGGGCGAAAGCCUGAUGCAGCGACGCCGCGUGAGGGAUGACGGCCUUCGGGUUGUAAACCUCUUUCAGCAGGGAAGAAGCGAAAGUGACGGUACCUGCAGAAGAAGCGCCGGCUAACUACGUGCCAGCAGCCGCGGUAAUACGUAGGGCGCAAGCGUUGUCCGGAAUUAUUGGGCGUAAAGAGCUCGUAGGCGGCUUGUCGCGUCGGUUGUGAAAGCCCGGGGCUUAACCCCGGGUCUGCAGUCGAUACGGGCAGGCUAGAGUUCGGUAGGGGAGAUCGGAAUUCCUGGUGUAGCGGUGAAAUGCGCAGAUAUCAGGAGGAACACCGGUGGCGAAGG